UCGGGAAUUUUGGGCAAUGGGGGAAACCCUGACCCAGCAACGCCGCGUGAAGGAUGAAGUAUUUCGGUAUGUAAACUUCGAAAGAAUAGGAAGAAUAAAUGACGGUACUAUUUAUAAGGUCCGGCUAACUACGUGCCAGCAGCCGCGGUAAUACGUAGGGACCAAGCGUUGUUCGGAUUUACUGGGCGUAAAGGGCGCGUAGGCGGCAUAACAAGUCACUUGUGAAAUCUCUGGGCUUAACCCAGAACGGCCAAGUGAUACUGUCGCGCUAGAGUGCAGAAGGGGCAAUCGGAAUUCUUGGUGUAGCGGUGAAAUGCGUAGAUAUCAAGAGGAACACCUGAGGUGAAGACGGGUUGCUGGGCUGACACUGACGCUGAGGCGCGAAAGCCAGGGGAGCAAACGGGAUUAGAUACCCCGGUAGUCCCUGAGCGGGCUGGCAAGGCGCAU
RNAcentral lists this ribosomal RNA (447 nucleotides) under uncultured bacterium. Its description in RNAcentral is "bacterial SSU rRNA". It matches the Rfam family "Bacterial small subunit ribosomal RNA", at positions 355 to 825 of the family's 1533-position model. The record is from RNAcentral.